GAUGAACGCUGGCGGCGUGCCUAAUACAUGCAAGUCGAGCGAACAGACGAUGAGCUUUCUCCUCUGACGUUAGCGGCGGACGGGUGAGUAACACGUGGAUAACCUACCUAUAAGACUGGGAUAACUUCGGGAAACCGGAGCUACUACCGGAUAAUAUAUUGAACCGCAUGGUUCAAUAGUGAAAGACGGUUUUGCUGUCACUUAUAGAUGAAUCCGCGCCGCAUUAGCUAGUUGGUAAGGUAACGGCUUACCAAGGCGACGAUGCGUAGCCGACCUGAGAGGGUGAUCGGCCACACUGGAACUGAGACACGGUCCAGACUCCUACGGGAGGCAGCAGUAGGGAAUCUUCCGCAAUGGGCGAAAGCCUGACGGAGCAACGCCGCGUGAGUGAUGAAGGUCUUCGGAUCGUAAAACUCUGUUAUUAGGGAAGAACAAAUGUGUAAGUAACUAUGCACGUCUUGACGGUACCUAAUCAGAAAGCCACGGCUAACUACGUG
This 497-nucleotide ribosomal RNA is filed under the name uncultured bacterium. RNAcentral describes it as "partial 16S ribosomal RNA". It matches the Rfam family "Bacterial small subunit ribosomal RNA", at positions 28 to 507 of the family's 1533-position model. The record is from RNAcentral.